GACGAACGCUGGCGGCGUGCCUAAUACAUGCAAGUCGAACGAGAGCAACCGGUGCUUGCACUGUUCAAUCUAGUGGCGAACGGGUGAGUAACACGUGGGUAACCUGCCCAUCAGAGGGGGAUAACAUCCGGAAACGGAUGCUAAAACCGCAUAGGUCUUCGAACCGCAUGGUUUGAAGAGGAAAAGAGGCGCAAGCUUCUGCUGAUGGAGGGACCCGCGGUGCAUUAGCUAGUUGGGGAGGUAACGGCUCACCAAGGCCGGGAUGCGUAGCCGACCUGAGAGGGUGAUCGGCCACAUGGGGACUGAGACACGGCCCAAACUCCUACGGGAGGCAGCAGUAGGGAAUCUUCCGCAAUGGACGCAAGUCUGACGGAGCAACGCCGCGUGAGUGAAGAAGGUGUUCGGAUCGUAAAACUCUGUUGUUAGAGAAGAACAAGUGCUAGAGUAACUGUUAGCGCCUUGACGGUAUCUAACCAGAAAGCCACGGCUAACUACGUG
Molecule: ribosomal RNA, 498 nt
Filed under: uncultured bacterium
Lineage: Bacteria
Description: partial 16S ribosomal RNA
Rfam family: Bacterial small subunit ribosomal RNA
Source: RNAcentral